UGCUAGUCGCGGGACUUAGACUCCCGGCGGAUAGCUCCGUAACACGUGGCCAAACUACCCAGCGGAGGGCGAUAAUCUCGGGAAACUGAGGCUAAUAGCCCCUACUGCUCCCAGGUUGGAAUACAGGGAGUGGGAAACGCUCCGGCGCCGCUGGAUGUGGCUGCGGCCGAUUAGGUAGACGGUGGGGUAACGGCCCACCGUGCCGAUAAUCGGUACGGGUGGUGAGAGCAAGAGCCCGGAGACGGAAUCUGAGACAAGAUUCCGGGCCCUACGGGGCGCAGCAGGCGCGAAACCUUUACACUGCACGCACGUGCGAUAAGGGGAGUCCGAGUGCGAGGGCAUAUCGUCCUCGCUUUUGUGUACCGUAGGGUGGUACACGAAUAAGGGCUGGGCAAGACCGGUGCCAGCCGCCGCGGUAAUACCGGCAGCCCGAGUGAUGGCCGAUUUUAUUGGGCCUAAAGCGUCCGUAGCCGGCCAGGCAGGUCCGUCGGGAAAUCCAUCCGCCUAACGGAUGGGCGUCCGGCGGAAACCACCUGGCUUGGGGCCGGAAGACCCAGAGGGUACGCCCGGGGUAGGAGUGAAAUCCCGUAAUCCUGGACGGACCGCCGAUGGCGAAAGCACUCUGGGAGGACGGACCCGACGGUGAGGGACGAAAGCUAGGGUCUCGAACCGGAUUAGAUACCCGGGUAGUCCUAGCCGUAAACGAUGUUCGCUAGGUGUGGCACAGGGCUACGCGCCUGUGCUGUGCCGUAGGGAAGCCGAGAAGCGAACCGCCUGGGAAGUACGUCCGCAAGGAUGAAACUUAAAGGAAUUGGCGGGGGAGCACUACAACCGGAGGAGCCUGCGGUUUAAUUGGAUUCAACGCCGGAAUCACU
Molecule: ribosomal RNA, 875 nt
Filed under: uncultured archaeon
Lineage: Archaea
Description: bacterial SSU rRNA
Rfam family: Archaeal small subunit ribosomal RNA
Source: RNAcentral